CUAAAAUUACCUAUUCAGGGGCAGCAACCUAACAACAGGUUGUCCGAUUCAUCUGAAAAUUUCAGGACAGAUAGAUCUUGACCUGAUUAACACUUUUACCACAUGUCAGAUUUGCUCUAAAAGCUUUGGUUUUUGAGUUAUAAGCCAAAAACUGCAUUUUACCCCUAUGUUCUAUUUUUAGCCAUGGCGGCCAUCUUGGUUGGUUGGCCGGGUCAGGCCACACAUUUUUUAAACUAGAUAUCCCAAAGAUGAUUGUGGCCAAGUUUUGAUUAAUUUGGCCCAGUAGUUUCAGAGGAGAAGAUUUUUGUAAAAGAUUACUAAGAUUUAUGAAAAAAUGGUUAAAAAUUGACUAUAAAGGUCAAUAACUCCUAAAGGGGUCAACUAACCAUUUUGGUCAUGUUGACUUAUUUGUAAAUCUUACUUUGCUGAACAUUAUUGCUG
RNAcentral lists this long non-coding RNA (441 nucleotides) under Mytilus galloprovincialis (Mediterranean mussel). Lineage: Eukaryota; Metazoa; Mollusca; Bivalvia; Mytilida; Mytilidae. The record is from RNAcentral.